GUGCCAGCAGCCGCGGUAAUACGUAGGUGGCAAGCGUUAUCCGGAAUUAUUGGGCGUAAAGCGCGCGUAGGCGGUUUUUUAAGUCUGAUGUGAAAGCCCACGGCUCGACCGUGGAGGGUCAUUGGAAACUGGAAAACUUGAGUGCAGAAGAGGAAAGUGGAAUUCCAUGUGUAGCGGUGAAAUGCGCAGAGAUAUGGAGGAACACCAGUGGCGAAGGCGACUUUCUGGUCUGUAACUGACGCUGAUGUGCGAAAGCGUGGGGAUCAAACAGGAUUAGAU
This 279-nucleotide ribosomal RNA is filed under the name uncultured Staphylococcus sp. Its description in RNAcentral is "partial 16S ribosomal RNA". It matches the Rfam family "Bacterial small subunit ribosomal RNA", at positions 505 to 783 of the family's 1533-position model. Lineage: Bacteria; Bacillati; Bacillota; Bacilli; Caryophanales; Staphylococcaceae. The record is from RNAcentral.